RNAcentral lists this long non-coding RNA (249 nucleotides) under Gossypium barbadense (sea-island cotton). Its description in RNAcentral is "long non-coding RNA (GBAR_LNC008681)". The record is from RNAcentral. Lineage: Eukaryota; Viridiplantae; Streptophyta; Magnoliopsida; Malvales; Malvaceae.
UAGAAUAAAAAGAUAAAUCCACAACUUACACAUAUAAUAUAAGAACUAAUAGUAGAAUUUGACAAUCUAUUUAUGUGUCCUGUUUGACUAUGUCAAUUUCAUACAAAAUUGGGUCCCACUAUCCACGUGGGUUCUCACACUAAAACCCCUCUCAUUUCCAUUGCCCUUCAAUCCUCCAACACGUGUCCCAUUAGUCACUAUUGCGUCUAGAACAUUGCCACGUAGCUCCAUAUAUAAGCUAGAUUUUUU